GAUGAACGCUGGCGGCGUGCUUAACACAUGCCAGUCGAACGAAGCAUUUGCGACAGAUUUUUUCGGAAUGAAGUUGCUUAUGACUGAGUGGCGGACGGGUGAGUAACGCGUGGGUAACCUGCCUUGUACUGGGGGAUAGCAGCUGGAAACGGCUGGUAAUACCGCAUAAGCGCACAAUGUUGCAUGACAUGGUGUGAAAAACUCCGGUGGUAUAAGAUGGACCCGCGUCUGAUUAGCUAGUUGGUGAGAUAACAGCCCACCAAGGCGACGAUCAGUAGCCGACCUGAGAGGGUGACCGGCCACAUUGGGACUGAGACACGGCCCAGACUCCUACGGGAGGCAGCAGUGGGGAAUAUUGCACAAUGGAGGAAACUCUGAUGCAGCGACGCCGCGUGAGUGAAGAAGUAAUUCGUUAUGUAAAGCUCUAUCAGCAGGGAAGAUAGUGACGGUACCUGAAUAAGAAGCUCCGGCUAAAUACGUG
This 481-nucleotide ribosomal RNA is filed under the name uncultured bacterium. RNAcentral's name for it is "partial 16S ribosomal RNA". It matches the Rfam family "Bacterial small subunit ribosomal RNA", at positions 28 to 507 of the family's 1533-position model. The record is from RNAcentral.